UACGGGGGGAGCUAGCGUUAUUCGGAAUUACUGGGCGUAAAGAGCGCGUAGGCGGUUCUGUAAGUUGGAAGUGAAAGCCCAGGGCUUAACCCUGGAACUGCUUUCAAAACUGCAGGACUAGAGAUUGAUAGGGGAUAGCGGAAUUCCUAGUGUAGAGGUGAAAUUCUUAGAUAUUAGGAGGAACACCGGUGGCGAAGGCGGCUAUCUGGAUCAAUACUGACGCUAAGGUGCGAAAGCGUGGGGAGCAAACAGGAUUAGAUACCCUGGUAGUCCACGCUGUAAACGAUGAGUGCUAGAUAUCAGGAAUUUAGUUUUUGGUGUCGUAGCUAACGCGUUAAGCACUCCGCCUGGGGAGUACGGUCGCAAGAUUAAA
RNAcentral lists this ribosomal RNA (373 nucleotides) under uncultured bacterium. Its description in RNAcentral is "bacterial SSU rRNA". It matches the Rfam family "Bacterial small subunit ribosomal RNA", at positions 524 to 898 of the family's 1533-position model. The record is from RNAcentral.